UACAGAGGUGCCAAGCGUUAGGCGGAAUCACUGGGCUUAAAGCGCGUGUAGGCGGGUCGUUAAGUGUCUUGUGAAAUCCCACGGCUCAACCGUGGAACUGCUGGGCAUACUGACGAUCUUGAGGCACUCAGGGGCGAGCGGAACAGAUGGUGGAGCGGUGAAAUGCGUAGAUAUCAUCUGGAACGCCAAUGGUGAAGACAGCUCGCUGGGGGUGUACUGACACUGAGACACGAAAGCCAGGGGAGCAAACGGG
RNAcentral lists this ribosomal RNA (253 nucleotides) under uncultured bacterium. Its description in RNAcentral is "partial 16S ribosomal RNA". It matches the Rfam family "Bacterial small subunit ribosomal RNA", at positions 524 to 776 of the family's 1533-position model. The record is from RNAcentral.